This 507-nucleotide ribosomal RNA is filed under the name Clostridioides difficile. Its description in RNAcentral is "partial 23S ribosomal RNA". It matches the Rfam family "Bacterial large subunit ribosomal RNA", at positions 2416 to 2925 of the family's 2925-position model. Lineage: Bacteria; Bacillati; Bacillota; Clostridia; Peptostreptococcales; Peptostreptococcaceae. The record is from RNAcentral.
UGAUCCGGUGGUUCUGCGUGGAAGGGCCAUCGCUCAACGGAUAAAAGCUACCCUGGGGAUAACAGGCUUAUCUCCCCCAAGAGUCCACAUCGACGGGGAGGUUUGGCACCUCGAUGUCGGCUCAUCACAUCCUGGGGCUGUAGUAGGUCCCAAGGGUUGGGCUGUUCGCCCAUUAAAGUGGUACGCGAGCUGGGUUCAGAACGUCGUGAGACAGUUCGGUCCCUAUCCGUCGCAGGCGUAGGAAAUUUGAGAAGACCUGUCCUUAGUACGAGAGGACCGGGAUGGACGUACCUCUGGUGUACCAGUUGUUCUGCCAAGGGCAUGGCUGGGUAGCUAUGUACGGAAUGGAUAAGCGCUGAAAGCAUCUAAGCGCGAAGCCAACUUCAAGAUAAGAUUUCCCACCGCAAGGGUAAGACCCCAGAAAGACUAUCUGGUUGAUAGGUCGAAGGUGUAAGUGCAGCAAUGUAUUUAGCUUAUCGAUACUAAUAGGUCGAGGACUUGACCAAU